Molecule: non-coding RNA, 2148 nt
Organism: Cicer arietinum (chickpea)
Lineage: Eukaryota; Viridiplantae; Streptophyta; Magnoliopsida; Fabales; Fabaceae
Source: RefSeq, a predicted model, not a curated record
UGCUUCUUAAUGAUAUUUAGAUAUUCUUGGCUCCACAGAAUAUCAUGCAACCAUGUUUUUGCACUUUUUAUCCAAGCAUGCAUUUACCUUCAAAAAACUUUAUAGGGUUUCUAUAGUAUAAUUUAAAUAUUAGUAGUAAAGGUUGAUUUAGACUCUUAUUAUUUGGAAUAACCAUGUUUUGAAGGUUAUUUAUAUUUGGGUACUGGUUUGGUUAAUUCUAUUUCUGAUUGAGGAUACAAACAGUGUCCUGUAUGCUAUACUAAUUCAAGCACAAGUAGUAAACUUUCACAUUCCUAAAGAUAAAAGAAUUAUAGAAACCAAUCUGUUUUGCUUUUGCAGGAUAUGAACAGAGGAGAGGAGAUUGCAGGUUUCUCUAUCACAUGUGUUAUUAAUCUUUAGGAAUUUUUCACCAAUUUCGUAGUGUUUGGAAGAGAGUCUCUGGCUCUGCGCUCUGCACUAAAUAGGAAAACUGCUGUUGAGGGAUCAAACUUCAAAAUUGGUACUCUAGGUUGGAAUACUCUGUGUUUUCCUCUCUACUUCCAUGAUCUCAAUGUUCCUUUAUUCUGUCUAUAAUAGCUUUUGAUUAGUAAUCUAUGAAGAAACAAGUAGUAUAGUUUUUCAAUGCUAUUUUUCCUUGCCUUGUUCUUGCUCUCAAUGCAGACUACAUCAGUAAGGGAAGAACACAACAAAUAAGGAUAUGAUUCUUGCAGGCUGCAUCUUUUGGUGAAUUUUCUCUUUGAAAAUUCACUAACCAAACCUGCUGACUCAUCUAUGAACAAUGUGAUGUGCAUUUAUUUUUUACUAUCUAGUUUAUGCCUUGCUUGUAGAUUCUAAAGUCAUUUUAGCUACACAUUCACGGGUUGUAGAUGAUGAAGUUACUAAGAAUAAUAAAAUAUUCUUGAAGAGUGUGGAAAGUUAAAGAUUCAUGAACCAUCUUUAUUACUUACACUCCAAGAAAGCCAACAAAUUUCGACACAAUGCUAUAAGUUAAAACACCAUUCAAAAGUAGAAUGUGGUCCACAGCCUAUGAAGAAUAACUAUCUAGUAACAUGUACAUAACAGUUGGUUAAAGGGCAUGUCCACUCAUUUUCUUAUCUUAUAUAGUAGUUUUCUAGAGAUUCAGUCUAUGUUGUUUAUAUAUAUAUAUACUUUUUUUUAAAUAACCAAUGUUAUAAUUAGUUGUUAAUUUUUGUUAGAGAGAAGAGUUGAUCUCAUGACAUCAUUAUCACUCCAACUCCUCCAAAGCACCCAACCACCUUAUCACUCUCUCAGUCUAUGUUGUUUAUAUACCAUGCAUGAUCCAUCUCAUCUAUCCUUAUCCACCUAUGGUGGAUUUUUCUGCUUGUUUUUUCCUUGGUGCCAUGUUAAAAUAUUUAAGUAGAGUAGUUGGUAAUGAUACAACUACUAUGGUUGGGCAUAGUUACUAGGUCAGUUAUUGCUUUCUCUUUAAAAUUUGAGAAAAAUAAUUUAUAAUUUUUAAACUAUGUGGACUAAAUUAUCUUUAGUUAUAUCAUGUUUUUAUAUUUUUUAGAAUUGUCCUUACUAAUGCUUUGUUUUUUUCACAACUCCAUCAUAUAUAUCAUCACCUUCUUUAACCUUUUCUUUUCAUUAUAACCAUACUCUAUAACUCAAAUUAUUCUGAUUAAUAAAUAUUAUUUUAUCUAGUCUCCACUCCCUUUGGACCACACAAGGAGAGAAAAUUUUAAUUUUCUUGUCCUUGUUAAAAUUAUUUUCAUCUCCUCGCUUUUCUCUAUCACACCAAACAAUGUAUUAAUGUAUGUUUGCAAUACAUGGCUAAAACAGUAGUAAAACUACUAUAUUAUUAUUAUUAUUAUAGGUUUCCUCCAUCAAAAAUAAUUUUAUUUGAAAUAUUGUGGAUAUUAAAUAUGAGCACCUCUUUCAAUUGGAACUCAGACCAUGGUUCUAAGCUUUUUUUUUUUUACAAUAAAUUAUAUUCAGUGUUAGUAAGUGGUAACAAUGACUGAAAUAUAAUGUAAAAGCAUCAACCAUAAAGUUUAAUAAGAUUCAUAAAAUAAAACACUGAACUGAAAGUGCAUGUUUUAUUCAGGGUGUACACAAGUGAGCUGCUAGCUCUUCUUAUCCACUAUAAACAACAACAAAGUUACAAGACAACUCAAAGAAGCUGUG